CCCAGACUCCUACGGGAGGCAGCAGUGGGGAAUAUUGGGCAAUGGGCGCAAGCCUGACCCAGCAACGCCGCGUGAAGGAAGAAGGCUUUCGGGUUGUAAACUUCUUUUAACAGGGAAGAGCAGAAGACGGUACCUGUUGAAUAAGUCACGGCUAACUACGUGCCAGCAGCCGCGGUAAUACGUAGGUGGCAAGCGUUGUCCGGAUUUACUGGGUGUAAAGGGCGUGCAGCCGGGUUUAUAAGUCAGAUGUGAAAUCCCGCGGCUCAACCGCGGAACUGCAUUUGAAACUGUAGAUCUUGAGUACUGGAGAGGCAGGCGGAAUUCCUAGUGUAGCGGUGAAAUGCGUAGAUAUUAGGAGGAACACCAGUGGCGAAGGCGGCCUGCUGGACAGCAACUGACGGUGAGGCGCGAAAGCGUGGGGAGCAAACAGGAUUAGAUACCCGGGUA
Molecule: ribosomal RNA, 447 nt
Filed under: uncultured bacterium
Lineage: Bacteria
Description: bacterial SSU rRNA
Rfam family: Bacterial small subunit ribosomal RNA
Source: RNAcentral